UGAGUCGACUGAGUGGUUACUCUGAUUUGUCCCGAUUCAUCGGGACGGAUCGGGGAGGAAAGUCCGGGCACCGCAGAACAGGAUGCCUCCUAACGGGAGGAGUUCCAAUUUUACUUGGGAUAUGGAUAGUGCAGCAGAGAGUAGACUUUCCCGAUAUUUAAAUUUCGGGAUAAAGGUGAAACGGUGGUGUAAGAGACCACCAGCUCCGAUAGCAAUAUCGGGGGCUAGGUAAACCCCAUCCGGUGCAAGAU
This 251-nucleotide RNase P RNA is filed under the name Fidelibacterota bacterium. RNAcentral describes it as "partial RNase P RNA component class A". It matches the Rfam family "Bacterial RNase P class A", at positions 1 to 228 of the family's 367-position model. From Rfam's summary of the family: Ribonuclease P (RNase P) is a ubiquitous endoribonuclease, found in archaea, bacteria and eukarya as well as chloroplasts and mitochondria. The record is from RNAcentral. Lineage: Bacteria; Pseudomonadati; Fidelibacterota.